UACGUAGGGGGCAAGCGUUGUCCGGAUUUAUUGGGCGUAAAGAGCGUGUAGGCGGCCAGGUAGGUCUGCUGUGAAAACUCGAGGCUUAACCUCGAGCUGUCGGCGGAAACCAUCUGGCUAGAGUCCGGAAGAGGAGAAUGGAAUUCCUAGUGUAGAGGUGAAAUUCGUAGAUAUUAGGAAGAACACCAGUGGCGAAGGCGGCUCACUGGUCCGGUACUGACGCUGAGGUGCGAAAGCGUGGGGAGCAAACAGG
Molecule: ribosomal RNA, 253 nt
Filed under: uncultured bacterium
Lineage: Bacteria
Description: partial 16S ribosomal RNA
Rfam family: Bacterial small subunit ribosomal RNA
Source: RNAcentral